GUGGGGAAUAUUGGACAAUGGGCGAAAGCCUGAUCCAGCCAUGCCGCGUGAGCGAUGAAGGCCUUAGGGUUGUAAAGCUCUUUCGCUGGGGAAGAUAAUGACUGUACCCACAGAAGAAGCCCCGGCUAACUUCGUGCCAGCAGCCGCGGUAAUACGAAGGGGGCUAGCGUUGUUCGGAUUUACUGGGCGUAAAGCGCACGUAGGCGGAUCGUUAAGUCGGGGGUGAAAUCCUGGAGCUCAACUCCAGAACUGCCUUCGAUACUGGCGAUCUUGAGUCCGGAAGAGGUGAGUGGAACUCCUAGUGUAGAGGUGGAAUUCGUAGAUAUUAGGAAGAACACCAGUGGCGAAGGCGGCUCACUGGUCCGGUACUGACGCUGAGGUGCGAAAGCGUGGGGAGCAAACAGGAUUAGAUACCCGUGUAGUCC
RNAcentral lists this ribosomal RNA (425 nucleotides) under uncultured bacterium. Its description in RNAcentral is "partial 16S ribosomal RNA". It matches the Rfam family "Bacterial small subunit ribosomal RNA", at positions 354 to 796 of the family's 1533-position model. The record is from RNAcentral.